GGAAAGGCAUGCCCCUGGGACAAAUUUCCUAGGCUCCGCAACAGGACACAGAGACUUGCUCACUGGUGGCAGAUCACUGGAACUUGAGACAGAAGACAACAGAAUGAGGGCUGCUGCUGUUGGUGUCUCGUCUGUCUUUUUCCUUUGCUGGCUGUAAAAGUUGCCGAGAUCCAACCGUGGAUCCACCACUCCCGAGUGAAGAAAUCCCACACUGAGACCAACACUGAAGGCCAGAAAAGACAAUGCACUCAAAGCUCUGCAACUGUCACUCCGGAGGCUGAUGGGCAAUGCACAGCUGAAGACUGAGGAUCGGCCUACAUGAAGAUAGGGUGACUAAGCAAAAUCCAAAUUCAAAGGCAUCAAUUGAUCGGAGAACAGAAAUGUAACAGAGGAGAGGUAAAAUGAUGAAUGUUACUUUGUUAAAGAAGAAAAAAUUCAAUUCCUCUCCAUCAGGCACUGUUUGACUAGUGACGGCUGGCACCUUCACAAGUGGCACCCGAACAGGGACCUGAGCACAGAGGACAAGGUGAAGGACGCCGCCGGAUUGUGAGCUCAGAUAAGAUGAAGACAGCGCGUGAUGGUUGCCAGAACGGCUCAUGCACCAGGUGGAUGUCUCUUCAACAGAAUCUCUUCCUCCUCAUAAUGAUGGCCACAAUGACCAGAUGUGAGAUGUUCUGGGCUUAUGUCCCUGACCCUCCGCUUCUCCAUCCUGUUAUCUGGGAAGACCCACCA
Molecule: long non-coding RNA, 732 nt
Filed under: Heterocephalus glaber (naked mole-rat)
Lineage: Eukaryota; Metazoa; Chordata; Mammalia; Rodentia; Bathyergidae
Description: lncRNA (ENSHGLG00000050721.1)
Source: RNAcentral